Molecule: ribosomal RNA, 253 nt
Filed under: uncultured bacterium
Lineage: Bacteria
Description: partial 16S ribosomal RNA
Rfam family: Bacterial small subunit ribosomal RNA
Source: RNAcentral
UACGUAGGUGGCAAGCGUUGUCCGGAUUUAUUGGGCUUAAAGGGUGCGUAGGUGGUCUAUUAAGUCAGUGCUGAAAUAUCCCGGCUUAACCGGGAGGGUGGCAUUGAUACUGAUGGACUUGAGUAAAGUUGAGGUGGGCGGAAUUGACGGUGUAGCGGUGAAAUGCUUAGAUAUCGCCAAGAACACCUAUUGCGAAGGCAGCUCACUAAGCUUUAACUGACACUGAGGCACGAAAGUGUGGGGAUCAAACAGG